UGAGCGUGAAGGAUAACGUUGCGUCAGCAACGGCCCGUAGGGCGAGGCGAAGCCGAGUCAUCCUGCACGACCCACCA
RNAcentral lists this small RNA (77 nucleotides) under Salmonella enterica. Its description in RNAcentral is "partial RtT sRNA". It matches the Rfam family "RtT RNA", at positions 49 to 130 of the family's 130-position model. Rfam says of the family: This family represents a bacterial cis-regulatory element known as RtT RNA. The exact function of RtT is unknown although it is thought that it may be involved in changing the cellular response in relation to amino acid starvation. The record is from RNAcentral. Lineage: Bacteria; Pseudomonadati; Pseudomonadota; Gammaproteobacteria; Enterobacterales; Enterobacteriaceae.